RNAcentral lists this ribosomal RNA (253 nucleotides) under uncultured bacterium. Its description in RNAcentral is "partial 16S ribosomal RNA". It matches the Rfam family "Bacterial small subunit ribosomal RNA", at positions 524 to 776 of the family's 1533-position model. The record is from RNAcentral.
UACGUAGGUGGCAAGCGUUAUCCGGAAUUAUUGGGCGUAAAGAGCGCGCAGGCGGUCGUUCAAGUCGCGUGUGAAAGCCCCCGGCUCAACUGGGGAGGGUCACGCGAUACUGAUCGACUCGAAGGCAGGAGAGGGUAGUGGAAUUCCCGGUGUAGUGGUGAAAUGCGUAGAUAUCGGGAGGAACACCAGUGGCGAAGGCGACUACCUGGCCUGUUCUUGACGCUGAGGCGCGAAAGCGUGGGGAGCAAAAGGG